AUUGAACGCUGGCGGCAUGCCUUACACAUGCAAGUCGAACGGCAGCACGGGUGCUUGCCCCUGGUGGCGAGUGGCGAACGGGUGAGUAAUACAUCGGAACAUGUCCUGUAGUGGGGGAUAGCCCGGCGAAAGCCGGAUUAAUACCGCAUACGAUCUACGGAUGAAAGCGGGGGACCUUCGGGCCUCGCGCUAUAGGGUUGGCCGAUGGCUGAUUAGCUAGUUGGUGGGGUAAAGGCCUACCAAGGCGACGAUCAGUAGCUGGUCUGAGAGGACGACCAGCCACACUGGGACUGAGACACGGCCCAGACUCCUACGGGAGGCAGCAGUGGGGAAUUUUGGACAGUGGGCGAAAGCCUGAUCCAGCAAUGCCGCGUGUGUGAAGAAGGCCUUCGGGUUGUAAAGCACUUUUGUCCGGAAAGAAAUCCUUGGCCCUAAUACGGUCGGGGGAUGACGGUACCGGAAGAAUAAGCACCGGCUAACUACGU
RNAcentral lists this ribosomal RNA (485 nucleotides) under uncultured bacterium. Its description in RNAcentral is "partial 16S ribosomal RNA". It matches the Rfam family "Bacterial small subunit ribosomal RNA", at positions 30 to 506 of the family's 1533-position model. The record is from RNAcentral.